RNAcentral lists this ribosomal RNA (467 nucleotides) under uncultured bacterium. RNAcentral describes it as "partial 16S ribosomal RNA". It matches the Rfam family "Bacterial small subunit ribosomal RNA", at positions 28 to 506 of the family's 1533-position model. The record is from RNAcentral.
GACGAACGCUGGCGGCGUGCUUAACACAUGCAAGUCGAACGGAAAGGCCCUGCUUUUGUGGGGUGCUCGAGUGGCGAACGGGUGAGUAACACGUGAGUAACCUGCCCUUGACUUUGGGAUAACUUCAGGAAACUGGGGCUAAUACCGGAUAGGAGCUCCUGCUGCAUGGUGGGGGUUGGAAAGUUUCGGCGGUUGGGGAUGGACUCGCGGCUUAUCAGCUUGUUGGUGGGGUAGUGGCUUACCAAGGCUUUGACGGGUAGCCGGCCUGAGAGGGUGACCGGCCACAUGGGGACUGAGAUACGGCCCAGACUCCUACGGGAGGCAGCAGUGGGGAAUAUUGCACAAUGGGCGGAAGCCGGAUGCAGCAACGCCGCGUGCGGGAUGACGGCCUUCGGGUUGUAAACCGCUUUCGCCUGUGACGAAGCGUGAGUGACGGGAAUGGGUAAAGAAACACCGGCGAACUACGU